Molecule: ribosomal RNA, 482 nt
Filed under: uncultured bacterium
Lineage: Bacteria
Description: partial 16S ribosomal RNA
Rfam family: Bacterial small subunit ribosomal RNA
Source: RNAcentral
AUUGAACGCUGGCGGCAUGCCUUACACAUGCAAGUCGAACGGUAACGGGCCUUCGGGUGCCGACGAGCGGUGAACGGGGGAGUAAUACAACGGAACGUGCACGAUCGUGGGGGAUAACGAGGCGAAAGGUGUGAUAAGACCGAAUACGAUAUAAGGAAGAAAGCAGGGGACGGCAAGGGCGAGAGAGGGCGGAGCGGCCGAUGGUAGAUUAGGUAGUUGGUGGGAUAAAAGCUUACCAAGCCGACGAUCUGUAGCGGGUCUGAGAGGAUGAUCAGCCACACUGGAACUGAGACACGGCCCAGACUCCUACGGGAGGCAGCAGUGGGGAAUUUUGGACAAUGGGCGCAAGCCUGAUCCAGCCAUGCCGCGUGCAGGAUGAAGGCCUUCGGGUUGUAAACUUCUUUUGUUCGGAACGAAAAGCCUUCUUUUAAUACAGGAGGGUCAUGACGGUACCGUAAGAAUAAGCACCGGCUAACUACGUG